AACGAACGCUGGCGGCAUGCCUAACACAUGCAAGUCGAACGAUUGCCUUCGGGUGAUAGUGGCGCACGGGUGCGUAACGCGUGGGAAUCUGCCCUUAGGUUCGGAAUAACAGCUGGAAACGGCUGCUAAUACCGGAUGAUAUCGCGAGAUCAAAGAUUUAUCGCCUGAGGAUGAGCCCGCGUUGGAUUAGGUAGUUGGUGGGGUAAAGGCCUACCAAGCCGACGAUCCAUAGCUGGUCUGAGAGGAUGAUCAGCCACACUGGGACUGAGACACGGUCCAGACUCCUACGGGAGGCAGCAGUGGGGAAUAUUGGACAAUGGGCGCAAGCCUGAUCCAGCAAUGCCGCGUGAGUGAUGAAGGCCCUAGGGUUGUAAAGCUCUUUUACCCGGGAAGAUAAUGACUGUACCGGGAGAAUAAGCCCCGGCUAACUCCGU
This 434-nucleotide ribosomal RNA is filed under the name uncultured bacterium. RNAcentral's name for it is "partial 16S ribosomal RNA". It matches the Rfam family "Bacterial small subunit ribosomal RNA", at positions 29 to 506 of the family's 1533-position model. The record is from RNAcentral.